Molecule: long non-coding RNA, 651 nt
Organism: Anguilla rostrata (American eel)
Lineage: Eukaryota; Metazoa; Chordata; Actinopteri; Anguilliformes; Anguillidae
Exons: 2
Source: RefSeq, a predicted model, not a curated record
CAACAAGAAUUUUUGAAACAAGGAGUAUUUCAUUUUUUUAAUCUAAAGCCAUUUGAAGGAACAAUUCACUCAGAAGAAACAGAGACAAAUUACUGCUGAUGAUGAAGGUGGAACAAACAAAUCUACUCAUGUACACGCAGAAGGCGCAUAAAAACGUACUGACUCUCAUUUUCUACAUGGUUAAACCAAAACGCAUAAGAAUAAGUAAAUGGUAUGUUCCUGUAUUUUAAAGUUUAUCUAAAAAAAACAGUGAAAGUAGUCAUUUCCAUUUGUUUCCCUGGCCUCAAGUUACCAUAGUUCAUUGCAAAGUCUUUGUCUAUAAUAAAAUGGUCAUACUAACCCACGGAAUGCUGCGUCUUAGGAACACAGGACAUUUAAAAAUCUGUGUUUUAUACUAAUUCACUUGUGUUCCAAUAAAAAUAACUACGUUGCCAUCUCACAAUAAUAACACAAUAAAUAUACGUCGUUCAUAAUUUUAUUAUGACACUUGCAAUGAAAGCAGUAAGAAACAGUGGAAUUUGCGGGAUAAAAUAAGUGUUUUGGCAUUCUGAUCAAAACAAAUAUUUGCCACACAGUGUAAUAAUAUUUAAAAACCCUAGGGGGGAUUUCUGUAUUUGUUUGCUCAUGUUGAACAAGGUGGCUAGAACAUUA